Molecule: long non-coding RNA, 769 nt
Filed under: Carassius auratus (goldfish)
Lineage: Eukaryota; Metazoa; Chordata; Actinopteri; Cypriniformes; Cyprinidae
Description: lncRNA (ENSCARG00000000418.1)
Source: RNAcentral
ACCAAAUUCUUUAAAGAAAAGUCUUGACAUAAAUUCAAAAAUUAUAGUCUCAUUAUAUUCUGAAUGUGCAAAAUUAUGGCACAGCAGUGAGAGGAGCUGAUGACUCAGAGGACAGACAGCCAGAGUCUGUGACGUCACCAAUACCGCAGCCUUGCCUGUGUUUACUUAACAUUCAUAAACACCCGCACGAGGAACACAAAACAGCUGAACCAAGACAUCUCUACACAGAUUGUUUGUCAACUUGGAUGAAAAAGGCAUCUUUUUGUUUUCCACAGAAACCUGUUACAAUUCAUUUUCCACACAUGGCUUUUUCCACUACAAAAAAAAUUAUUUUAUCAUAUUUGAUUCAAGGCAACCGUGCCUAGUGUGAGUAUACCCUAAAAGUUCUCCUAAAUAGCAGCACAAAUUAUUUGCUAAGAGUUUCCUCUUAAACCCAUUCACAAAGCUUAAACCCAUUCAGGGCACUGGAUGGCAGGGUUACACCCCUACUCUUUUUCGAAGGACAUCCUGGGAUUUGUAAUGACCACAGAGAGACAGGACCUUGGUUUAAUGUCUCAUCCAAAAGACAGAAUGUACAUUAUGUGAAAAAAGAAUAUAUAUAUAUAUAUUCAGGUGGACUAUGAGUCAUACACACACACCCAUCUACAUCGCUGAGCUGUAGUGGAGCGUGUGUAGAGUUUCAAGUUCCUUGGCAUCCACAUUUCUGGUGACCUUACCUGGUCCAAUAACACCUCCACCCUGGUCAAAAAGGCCUUUACUUCUUACGUAG